RNAcentral lists this ribosomal RNA (822 nucleotides) under bacterium a3as-2-530f. Its description in RNAcentral is "bacterial SSU rRNA". It matches the Rfam family "Bacterial small subunit ribosomal RNA", at positions 533 to 1357 of the family's 1533-position model. The record is from RNAcentral.
GGCAAGCGUUGUCCGGGAUUUAUUGGGCGUAAGCGAGCGCAGGCGUUUCUUAAGUCUGAUGUGAAAGCCCCCGGCUCNACCGGGGAGGGUCAUUGGAAACUGGGAGACUUGAGUGCAGAAGAGGAGAGUGGAAUUCCAUGUGUAGCGGUGAAAUGCGUAGAUAUAUGGAGGAACACCAGUGGCGAAGGCGGCUCUCUGGUCUGUAACUGACGCUGAGGCUCGAAAGCGUGGGGAGCGAACAGGAUUAGAUACCCUGGUAGUCCACGCCGUAAACGAUGAGUGCUAAGUGUUGGAGGGUUUCCGCCCUUCAGUGCUGCAGCAAACGCAUUAAGCACUCCGCCUGGGGAGUACGACCGCAAGGUUGAAACUCAAAGGAAUUGACGGGGGCCCGCACAAGCGGUGGAGCAUGUGGUUUAAUUCGAAGCAACGCGAAGAACCUUACCAGGUCUUGACAUCCUUUGACCACUCUAGAGAUAGAGCUUCCCCUUCGGGGGCAAAGUGACAGGUGGUGCAUGGUUGUCGUCAGCUCGUGUCGUGAGAUGUUGGGUUAAGUCCCGCAACGAGCGCAACCCUUAUUGUUAGUUGCCAUCAUUUAGUUGGGCACUCUAGCGAGACUGCCGGUGACAAACCGGAGGAAGGUGGGGAUGACGUCAAAUCAUCAUGCCCCUUAUGACCUGGGCUACACACGUGCUACAAUGGGAAGUACAACGAGUUGCGAAGUCGCGAGGCUAAGCUAAUCUCUUAAAGCUUCUCUCAGUUCGGAUUGUAGGCUGCAACUCGCCUACAUGAAGCCGAAUCGCUAGUAAUCGCGGAUCAGCACGC